This 810-nucleotide long non-coding RNA is filed under the name Homo sapiens (human). RNAcentral's name for it is "HSALNT0397400". The record is from RNAcentral. Lineage: Eukaryota; Metazoa; Chordata; Mammalia; Primates; Hominidae.
AAUCAUUUAUUAAGCAUUGCCCUGGCCUAAGACACCACAUGGGUCAUUUCUUCCAGGCUCCAACUUGCUUCUGCUUUGCCAUAUGGUAACACGCCGUAUUAUGGAAGCACCAUCAUUACCGCCAUUUGCAGGGGAAGCCUAAAGAGAUAAAUGCCAGCCAGCAUCCCUGUCUCUGGGGCCCUGGAGAGGCCUUCAACACACCUGGCCUCACUGCCCUGUGGCUUCAACAAAGAGGCCGAGCAUCUCCUAUAAACCUUGAGGUCCAUGGAUGACAUAGCGGAAUGAUGGAUUUCAGAAAAGCACACUGCUGUUACGACUCCAGAACCGAUAAGGAAGCUAUGUGUGGAAGUAUGAGCUCAGGUCGCCUUCUGACCCUCUGUGACGGUCUAUUUCAGGCAGUUAUGGAUAGAUAACAUUACAGACACUGGGAUCUUUAACAAGUGACACAAACAAGAGAAGAAGCAGACAGGACCAUUUAACUUCAAACUCCACCGAAGAGAGCUGAAUUGUAAGCUUCCUACAGCAAGCCCGGCUGGCGGCUAUGUGGCAGUCUUCAUUUCUCAGCGGAAAAGCCACUCCCUUGAGACUCUCCAGGCACCCCCCAACCGCAUUUUUUAUCAAGUGUCUAAAAGCUGCUGUAAGCAGUCGGCUGCUGUCAUUAAGCAAAAAGGCCAAGACAAUGUGAGUUUAUCUGGUCCUACCUGCAUUUCUACUCAUCGUUGGACUGAAACAAAUGGGAAAGAAAAACUUACUGACUUUUGGCGAACUACAAAGGUUAACUCUAUUCAUCAUGGAGAAACUGAUACUAAG